Brassica oleracea var. oleracea is the source of this 872-nucleotide long non-coding RNA. RefSeq lists it as uncharacterized. The transcript is spliced from 2 exons. The record is from RefSeq and is a predicted model, not a curated record. NCBI's taxonomy places the organism in Eukaryota, Viridiplantae, Streptophyta, Magnoliopsida, Brassicales, Brassicaceae.
CGUACGCCGUUUACAUCGUCACUUACGAAACAGAGCUCUAGAUUGGUCUCAACCAAGACUCUAUCCAUUGCGACUCUAUCCAUUGCGAUUGCGAAGAAAGUAAUUUCUUCAUCGGAGAAGGUGGAAACGGAUCUCAGGGUAUUUGGAUCCGGUCUCUAUGGAGAACUAUAUAACUAAAAUAGUUAAUGACUCAACUGUUUAUGAGAGUAUUAUAAGUCACUACGUUUGGUAAUCAACUGUUGCUUUCCGAAACGAAGUGACUUAUAAUAAUCUCAUGAAUGGAUCUAUGUUAACUGUUGAUAGGUUGUUUUUCUCUAAUGAUGUAUUGUAGCUCUGCGUUUCUUGUUCGUUCACUCUUUUGUCAGGUAUUAACAAGAUAAAUCCCAAGCAUCAUCCACCUUAUUAGUCCUUGAACAUGAAGGCUUGUAAAAUGGAUUGAUGCUUGGGAUUUAUUUUGUACUCUCCUCUUCUAAAAGAGUGUUGCCUCCAUAGGACUACCAAUGAUUUCAGGCUUGUUGAAGGAACGUGAUGCUUUUACUUAUAGAAAGCAUGAAAGAUUUGACCUCUCCCAUUUUGUUCUUAACUAUUGUUUUUGUACUUGUGAUAACCAAGAGAUAUGAACAUGUUCUAGUUGAGUCUUUACUCCCACUUCAUGUAUCAAUGGAACAAGGUUGGCUUCAAUGGAACAAGGUUGGCUUCAACUGCAGAUUAAUGAUUAUAGAAACCACGUGAACCAACCAAAGUCCAGGCAAUCAAAGAGAUCCUAUCUUGUAUUUCUGAGUUUGAGCGUUUCUAUGUUCUGUAAAUGUACCCAUACCAUGUGGAAUAAUGACUUUGUGCCAAACAUCACUCUAAAACAUUUCUUGUUAACA